RNAcentral lists this ribosomal RNA (450 nucleotides) under uncultured bacterium. RNAcentral describes it as "bacterial SSU rRNA". It matches the Rfam family "Bacterial small subunit ribosomal RNA", at positions 354 to 796 of the family's 1533-position model. The record is from RNAcentral.
GUCGAGGAUCUUUCGCAAUGGGCGAAAGCCUGACGGAGCGACGCUGUGUGAGUGAUGAAGGCCUUCGGGUCGUAAAACUCUUUUGCCUGUGAACAAGAAAGAUUCGUGAAUAACGAGUUAAUUUGAGAGUAGCAGGAGAAAAAGCACCGGCUAACUACGUGCCAGCAGCUGCGGUAAUACGUAGGGUGCAAGCAUUAAUCGGAAUUAUUGGGCGUAAAGGGCGCGUAGGCGGAUUGAUAAGUCAGAUGUGAAAUACCAAAGCUCAACUUUGGUGCUGCAUUUGAAACUGUCUCUCUAGAGGAUUGACGGAGAAAGGGGAAUUCCACGUGUAGCGGUGAAAUGCGUAGAUACGUGGAGGAACACCGGUGGCGAAAGCGCCUUUCUAGUUUAGACCUGACGCUGAGGCGCGAGAGCAAGGGGAGCAAACAGGAUUAGAAACCCGGGUAGUCC